GAACAGGUUUGACAGAUUAUUCAAAUCUCAUAUAGAAUCGUAAUAGCGUUAAGGAUUGUUCAUUUACAUAUUAAGUAACCUUAUAUUAGUUGUUACUGCACAACUAUUAUCAUCAACUACUAUAACAAUCACUACCACAGUUAUGAUCACCACCAGCUACACUGACACUGUGACACAAUUACAAUAAAGACUUAUUCGGACCGAUAUUUAUACCAAAUUAAUAGAUACAUGACGGACUAGCUAUUUCCAACCUCACAGUACAAACCACCGCUAGAUGGGGAGGGGGGAGGGGUUCCAAUCACGUAGCCAUCAGUACCAGCCAUUUGAAGAACAUAUUCUCAUGGCCACAAACAAGGUGAGGAUUAGACACACAAUAGGUACUAGGAACUUCUCUUUUGAAAGGUUUGUUCUUCAUUAUAUUGUAAAUGGUGGAGUUUAGUCGGAAAAAUGGUAUAAAAUCGUGUUUUGAAAUUUUUUUUUUAUGCCUAUUCUUGAAGGGAAGCAAAGCCCCCCUUAUCUUUGUUGUACUCUUCUUCUUCUUCUUCUUCUCUCUAUAUAUAUAUAAAGAAGAUCCCCACUAUCACAAAGCGAGAAAAAAAAUUAGCAUCACUGUCCAUUGAUUACCACCACCUGUUGGGUUUUUGCCGUAUAGAAUCCACUACUAGAUAAAAUACUACCACACUUCUUAUGAUAGCUACCUCCGCACUUAACUAGCAUGUCUGUAUUGGUCAUCUUAUGAAGUCAAUAAAGUUGACUUCGUCUCAUCAUCAUUACAUUUGAUACAAGCAACGAGAAAAAGGCCUCUCCACGACGGAAAAACUUCCCCGACCCAAUCAUGAUAAGUCAUGACAAGCACAAAAAGUUUUUCGACUAUAAAGGCAAGACAAAAGAGCUGAAGAAAGGGGCUUCCUCCAUCCGCUUCUUCCCCAACACACCAAUAACCCGAAAAAGGGCGGCAGAACUCUGAGAACUGGAUCCUUGACCUACGGGAAAUGGGAGAAACUCCAUUUUUCAUCAUCUAAGAAGGGGGCAAUAACGAUUGUAAUUUCCAGACCCUCUCUAAGGAGAGCCAGAGAAAAUUUCUAUCAUCAAUAAAACUUUCUGAUAUUUUAUCUGCUCAAUAUGUUACUGUAGCUACUCUGUUUCUCGAUCAAGUAUUAAUUAUGAUUGACUAUGAU
Molecule: long non-coding RNA, 1178 nt
Filed under: Nicotiana benthamiana
Lineage: Eukaryota; Viridiplantae; Streptophyta; Magnoliopsida; Solanales; Solanaceae
Description: long non-coding RNA (NBEN_LNC014829)
Source: RNAcentral